GAAGGGCGUUUGGUGGAUGCCUUGGCAUCGAGAGGCGAUGAAGGACGUGAUACGCUGCGAAAAGCUUCGGGGAGCUGCGAAUGGGCUUUGAUCCGAAGAUAUCCGAAUGGGGAAACCCGGCCCUUCGGGGUCAUCUCACACUGAAUACAUAGGUGUGUGAAGCGAACCCAGGGAACUGAAACAUCUAAGUACCUGGAGGAAAAGAAAUCAACCGAGA
Molecule: ribosomal RNA, 217 nt
Filed under: Gambierdiscus australes
Lineage: Eukaryota; Dinophyceae; Gonyaulacales; Pyrocystaceae
Description: partial Bacterial large subunit ribosomal RNA
Rfam family: Bacterial large subunit ribosomal RNA
Source: RNAcentral